This 417-nucleotide long non-coding RNA is filed under the name Gallus gallus (chicken). Its description in RNAcentral is "lncRNA (ENSGALG00010003876.1)". The record is from RNAcentral. Lineage: Eukaryota; Metazoa; Chordata; Aves; Galliformes; Phasianidae.
CAAAAGCCCCAAAAUGAACCAAUCCUGAAAUAUCAUUUGUAGUUAGCAGCUGCAUUGAGCUCUUUGGGGAAGUGGAGAAUGGACCUGGACUGUUGGAAGAACGGAACAGUGGGCUACACUCUUAACAAAUGUGAUUCAUGCAUAUGCUGUCCUCUUUUUGAAUAGAUCCCAUGAGGAGAGUCACUGUAGGACCACUGAAGAUCAAAGGACCAGAACAUCUCUCUGGCGGAGACUGAGAUUGCUGAGACUGUUCAGCCUGGAGAAAGAAAGACUGAGAGCGGAUCUUAUCAAUGUCUAUCGGUCCUGGAAGGAAUGGUACAGAAAAGAUGGAGCCAGGUUCUGUGCAGUGGUACCCAGUGUGAGGACGAGAGGCAAUGAGUACAAAUCAGAACACAGGAUGUCCCCUCUGAACACCAG